This is a long non-coding RNA of Panicum virgatum (switchgrass), 660 nucleotides long. RefSeq lists it as uncharacterized. The record is from RefSeq and is a predicted model, not a curated record. The transcript has 2 exons. NCBI's taxonomy places the organism in Eukaryota, Viridiplantae, Streptophyta, Magnoliopsida, Poales, Poaceae.
AAAGAACCCGUCGGCUCUAAUCACGAACUCCCCACUCCCCCAAGCGGUUGCGCCCACCUCGUCUCGCUCUCGCCCGCACCAGCACUGCCGUUCGUCUCCCCACGUCGCAAGCGCGGCGGCGCUCCACCACCCUCGUCGUCCCCCAUGCAGCGGCGCGGUGAAGGUGGCAACGUUUGGGUCAUGGACAGGAAGAUAAAGCACAAGCUGAGGGGCUUUUUGCUGUCUUUGCUGGAGGACACCCAUGAGCCAGAAGUCCUUACCCCAGCGAAGGCAGCAAAGGAAGCCGCAAAGCAGGAUCAGCUCGUAAACGCUGCUCGUGCAAGGGUUGCUGAGUUCAAGCCCCGUGCUUCUCUUGUGACUGCCCCAGCAUCAGGUGCCCCUCCACCUGCUCAGUUCUUCGCCCCACAGGAUUCCUCCCCUGCCGAUGCCCCCUCUGCCCCAGCACCAGGCGCAUAGGGCACUCCUUCAUCCUAGCAGUGACUUCUAUGAUGAUGUUGAGAACUUCAAGUGAGUACUCCUUAGAAAACUGAUGUGAUGUCUGUCAAAGUUGAUGCGAUCUUACCAAAACUGAUGGGAUGUGGUGGUGUUCACAUGAUAAAUUCCUGAAAACUGUUGUGAUGUUAACGAAGUGGCGUUUUGAGUGCGGUGAUUGUUGGUGUU